CCAUGACGACUGGGGCCAGCUUCGUUUGGGACCCGGCCAUCAGAGGCAGCCUAGGGUGCUCAUUCUCGUCGCCUUCCGUCUCCUACCGCUGGAGACGGUGAAAACCUAGAUCGGCGUGGAGCCAUGGACGAGCCCCAAUCCUCCCCGCCCCUCUCCUCCCCAAUGGCGAUCUCCUUCUCCCCCAUCAGAUCUCACCUCUGCUCCAGCCCCGCGUGAGGCCGGUGCGCAACAGAGCACGGUUUGGUGGUGGACGAGUCAAGCGCGAGCGGCGCGGGCCUUGGUGUGGGCGUGCGUGUGCAGGGCGUGGCGGCGGGGUCGAGGCGGCGGCGGUGCUGUCCUCGGUGGAAGCGGAGGAGGAGGCGCUCCUGGCCGAGGUCUAGCGGGAGGCCAGGCGGCACGGAAGCGGGCGGGCUCCCUGGGAGCUCCUCGCCGUGCUGCGGGAGGCCAGGCGCGCCGCGGUGCGGCUGCGAGCUGCAGUAGCGCAAGGUGACCGCGCGGUGGAGCUGAUGGCGGGCUCUCCGCGAAGCCUAUUCCUUGUCGCGCGGCGGCGGCGAUGGAGGCUUCCCAGGUCGGCCGGCCUCCUUCCCCAGCUCCAGCACAGGCAUCGGUUGGACGAGGGAUUCAGCGGCAGCACGGAGCGCGGCCGGAGCACCGGCAGCGGCUGGACGCGGCAGCGGUGGUGGUAGGCACUACUGCGUUGGGGACGGGCCAUGCAGCAACACACUUUGGAACACACUCUGGGAUGCACGGUCGCCCGUUCCUGUGACGCCAUGCAGCUGCUGGCCAAGCAAGGCACUUUGUGCGGUGACGGACUGCUCCUGGAAGAAAAUGAGGACAAUAGCUUCAAUGCCACAUUAAUAAGCUACAACAAACACAACAGAUUGAUUGCGAGGAGUUGGUGCUCCUUCAUCUCCUCCCUCAGCCAGGAGAUGUCAGCGAGAUUUCUUGUGCCAAUGAUGCACAGUGAGGAGGUGGUGCGGCCUUGUGGCGUGUUUGCAACGGUGGAUCCGGUGGCCUGCCAGCAGCCUCGCCAUCUCUGGCUUGUUACUAGCAGGCUCCUUGUAAUUACUAUCAAGAAUCAUGCCAAUUUGCCUACUGCAGCUAAAAUUGCUGCUUGGAGCAUGGUUGAGUCAGCUCCCUUGCUGCAGCCUACGGCUCUCCCCUUGCCCCCUUGUCGAAGCCAUCGGAGAGGACAAGGCCGCCAACCCAUGAUGAUACACUCACAGCUACCCAGGCCUCGCUGGUCCUCCCUUGCAUGCCCUCAUAUGCCAGGGGUUAUGGCAAUCAGGACAUGGUGGGAGCAGUUGGUGGUAAGGCAGAGUCAGGCGUACUGCCAGCAGUGGCACUACUCAAGAUCAAUGCCAUGAGGAGUAUCACUCAAGUCCCAGGAUUUGAUGACAUUGUUUCUGGCUAUUAGGUUGUACAAUAUCUUUGUUAUGGAUUGUGACCCCCACACAAUACUGGAUUCAGAGAAGGCGGAGAUCCGUGGAUGCCAGUGAGGGAGGCAGCUUGGCUCGGACUGGCCAUGGCGCUGGCGUUGAUGACUCCCUGCUAUCCUCCUUUGUCUCCCAUCCACAGCUUGGCUCGGACUUGGUGGAACAUGUAUAGAAGAGGCUUUCAUCAUUUGUCAACUGGGUCGCACUUUCCUUGUCAUCUCUUAGUAAUAGAUUUUCUGUAAUACUAAAAUCAGAACCUUAGCCUCUGCAAACAGUGCAUGCAGAUUUACAAUAGUAAGGCAUCUUAUCGUGGACAUAUUUUUGACUUGGCUGAUUAGGAAGUCUCGAGCGGCUGGUGGUGGUGUACAAUGGUGCCCAGCGGCGCGCACAACGGGUGUACGAUAUGUGGCAUCGGCGCCACCUG
Lolium perenne is the source of this 1860-nucleotide non-coding RNA. The record is from RefSeq and is a predicted model, not a curated record. Lineage: Eukaryota; Viridiplantae; Streptophyta; Magnoliopsida; Poales; Poaceae.